GCUCGUGCUCAAAAGAGGAAAUGACGUAGUUACUUUUUGCCUCCGUACACAAACAAACAAACGUGGCUGCAAAAGAAUCUCUGAAGUACAGUGUUCGCUAGAAAUGUAGACAGACGGGAAAAAAUCCAAAGACAAUCGGACACUACACAUAAAAACUUUACGGAAGUAUCCACAGACACUGAAGGAAACACAGACUGAGACCUUCGACAGCACAAGACCAGCUAACAACAGAAGAAAGAGGAAAAAUCUGACGUGCAAGAGCAGAAGACUCAUAAUGCCUGGAUGAAAUCUCACAUUUAGAUGGAGGGGUGCCGACUACAGAUACAGAGGAAGAUACAAGGAACUAUUUAUUUUCAGUAACACACCCUCUUGCUAAUGCAAGUACAAUUAAUAUAGAAACUAGGAUACAUUUUUAAUGUUUUACUUUUUUUCUUAUUUUUGACAGCUACUUUUCUGUUACAACACUUGCUUGAAUUAUAUUUUACUUGAAUAGUUUUUAAUAAAACAUUUUGCACUCUAA
Molecule: long non-coding RNA, 520 nt
Organism: Clarias gariepinus (North African catfish)
Lineage: Eukaryota; Metazoa; Chordata; Actinopteri; Siluriformes; Clariidae
Exons: 2
Source: RefSeq, a predicted model, not a curated record